This is a non-coding RNA of Monodelphis domestica (gray short-tailed opossum), 9909 nucleotides long. Lineage: Eukaryota; Metazoa; Chordata; Mammalia; Didelphimorphia; Didelphidae. The record is from RefSeq and is a predicted model, not a curated record.
UCCUUCAUUCCUUCCUUCCUUCCUCAAAAAAAGUUUCUUAACAUAAUUAAAAAAAUUUUCUGAAGUAUUACAGUCAGAGAGAAAUAACUUCUUCACAUGGAAGAAUAUCAGCUGGGAAUACUAUAAACAAUGUUUGGAACUGAAUGGACAGUUUUGGGGGUUCAUUUUAUCUUUAUUUUUAUUUUAAAUUUAUUUCUUUUUAAGUAGUUUUCCAUGGUCACAUGAUUCAUGUUCUCUUCCUCCCCUCUUCCCUCCCUGUUCCUAGAGCCAACAAGCAAUUCCACUGGGUAUACAUGUAUUAUCACUUGAUAUUUAUUUCCAUAUUAUUCAUUUUUAUAAUUGAGUAGUAUUUUAAAACCAAAACCCCAAAUCGUGUGCCCAUAUAAUAAGUAAUAAAUCAGAUCUUUCUUCUGUGUUUCUACUCCCACAAUUCUUUCUCUGGAUGUGAAUAGCGUUCUUUCUCAUAAGUCCCUCAGGAUUGUCCUGGAUCACUGCAUUGCUAUUAGUAGCAAAGUUGAUUACAUUUGAUCAUCGCACAAUAUUUCAAUUACUAUAUACAACGUUCUCCUGGUUCUACUCUUUGGGGUUUUUUUUAAGCCUUCACCUUUUGUCUUAGAAUUAAUACUGUGUAUUGGUUCCAAGGCAGAAGAGUGGUAAGGGCUAGGCAAUGGAGGUUAAGUGACUUGUCCAGGUUCACAUAGUUAGAAAAUGUCUGAGGUCACAUUUGAAUCCAGGACUGCCCAUUUCUAGGCCUACCUCUCAAUCUAAUGAGCCACCUAGAUGCCUCCAAAUGGAUAAUUUUAUUGCUGGUCUUCACUUGAUUAAAAACAAUCCAUAUUCUUUUUUGUUUGUUUGUUUAAACAUUUUAGUUGUGCCUGACUCUCUAUGACUCUAUUUGAGGUUUUCUUGGCAAAGAUGCUGGAGUGGUUUGCCAUUUCCUUUUCUAGUUCAUUUUCUAGAGGAAGAAACUGAGACAAACAGGGUAGAAUGAUUUGUCCAGGAUCAUUCAGCUAGCAAAUGUCCGAGGCCAGAUUUGAACCCAUAAAGAUGAAUCUCUGAGUCCAAGCCUGGUACUCUAUCCCUUGUGCCACCUAGCUGCCCAUACACCUAGCUGCCUAUAAUCCAAACAUGGUUGUAUAUAAUUGUCUCUAUUGCUUUAUGUGGCCAUGAGUUCUUAUGGUAGUUAAAUAUAAAAAAUACUAUCAUGAGGGCAGCUAGAUGGUUCAGUGGAUUAAAAAGUCAGGCCUGGAGAUGUGAGGUCCUGGGUUCUAACCUGGCCUCAGACACUUCCUAGCUCUGGGACCCUGGGCAAAUCACUUGACUCCCAUUGCUUUCCUCUUACCGCUCUUCUGCCUUGGAACCAAUACACAGUAUUGGUUCUAAGAUGGAAGGUAAGGGUUUUUUUUUUAAGUACCAUAUUUGGAUUGUAGAUUGCAUUGUUGGAGUCAAAAUUGGUAAAAUAAAUGAAUAACUUCUCAAAUGAAGAAUCUUCCUUCUUUAUAUUUCUCUUCUAAUAACCCUUCCUCAAUAGAACCUUCCCUUAAAGAAGGAGUUAAACAAAAACAAACCUCGCAUUUAUCAAGUCUAAUAGUUGCUGGCCACAUUUCAUACCUGGGGGACUCUUGACUGAAGGAACGGAUGAAUGAAAGCAAAAAAAAGCUUGAAGCUUACCAUAUGCCAACCUGUGCUUAAGCCCUAAUAAUGCAAAAGCAAAAGUGAGAGGCCCUGCCCUUAUGGAGUCUAAUGGGGAACACAGCCAAAAUAGAGUAGUGGUGGCUGGAAUGAAAUGCCUUGGUCUGGAACAGUGAUGGCAAACCUAUGGCACGGGGGUCAAAAAGGCACACAGAGCUUUCUUUGUGGGCACUUGGUCACCCUCCUUCCCACCCUACAGAGUUCAUUACUAGAAAGGCAGAGGGGUUCAGAUGGAGUUACUUUCCUUCCCCUCUCCAAUGUGCCUGAUGACAUUUUUUCACAUCACCUGCCACUCUGCCCAGCAGUCCAAUGGAAGUGCUUCCUCCCUCCCCUGUGUGGGGGAGGGAAGGGAGGGGCAAGCCCAGCAUGUUGGGGGGGGAAUGGCACAUAGUCUUUGGGGAGGUGGGCAUGGCACUCAGUCUGGGAGGUGGGCUAAGGUGGGGCCCAGCACUAUGUCUCUAAAAGGUUUUCUAUCACUGGUUUUGAAGGUCACCAGGAUGGUUAGGAGAGCCAUGGAAGAGUUGAUCUUUCAUAUACCAAUGGCAUUGGAGCUUAGGACCAUCUUCACCCUUGGAGUCGAAGGCUUUGAGGGUGACAUAGAGAAUACUCCAGACAGACAGAGGGAAAAGCCCAGCCAGAGUAAGAGGCUCAUCUGGCCCCUUCCAACAGAUAUUCUGCCAGCAGCAAACCACAGACUCUCUAAAGAAUCUCAGCAAUGGAGAAGGUCAGGCUGGAAGCUCUGGAGACCAAUUGGAACCCAGAAGCCCAAGCGAAAGGCAAGAAUGUCACCAAGGAAGGAUCCCAAAUAUAUCUAGGAAGUGUCAAAGAAAGAUUUUUCUCUGAUGUUGACAAAUGCAGACUUUCAAAAACACCAGGAAAAGUAAAGAGUCCCAGAAGCAGAAGUUGUUGUAGGUGGUACAUGGUAUCAAUAGGACCUUGGAGACCUUGUUAGGUCUAGGUGUAGGUUCAGCUGGGUGGAACAGGACUGUGCCUGGAAUCAGGAAGGCCUAAGUUUAAAGCCAACUUCGGAUACUUGCUGAGUGUCUCUGGGCAAUUUAUGCCUCAGUUUACUCAUCUGUAAAAUAUGGGGGAGGUGAUUAUAGCAACUACCUUCCAGGAUAGAUCAAAGGAGAUAAUAAUGAUGAAAUACAUAACACAGUAGCUGGUACAUAGUAAGUGCUUUAUAAAUAUUAUUAUUAUUACUGUUUAGUUCAUCCUUCUGAAGAGAAGGAUUUAUGUGAAGGUCCACUGAAAUCUUUUAAUGAAUCAGGUGCUCAGCACCAGGGCAGAGUAUUCCCCUUUGCACUAUGUGGGCUGAAGAGUGAAACAGAGGACAGAGAGAUAACAGGCAUUUCUAAGCACUUACUAUGUGCCAGGCUAAGUCCAUUUAUGACUUACUAUUUGCUAUUGAUAGGGGAUACAAAGAAAGACAAAAACAUGUGCCCUGUCCUCAAGGGGCUCUCAUAAUGGGGAAGGGAGAGCCAGGGGCAGGGCAGGCAGAAGGGAAUUGAGGAUCAAGAAAAAACCAUGUAAAGAGUGGGAUUUGAGUUGUCUUUUUUUUUUUAAUUCUUAUCUUCCUUCUGAGAAUCAAUACUGAGCAUUGGUUUCAAGGCAGGAGAAUCAUAAGGGCUAGGAAAUAAGGGUUAAGUGACUUGCCCAGGGUCACAUCUGAGGCUAAAUUUGAAUUUAAGACCUCUUGUCUCCAGAUCUGACUCCCAAUCCACUGAGCUACCUAGUUGCUGCUUCCUGAGUUGAGUCUUAAAGGAAGUCAGUAGUCAGAGAUAAGGAGAGGGUCUUCCAGGAAUAAGAGAAUAAAGUUGGGAGAUGGAAUGUUGGGUGUAAGGAAGAGCAAGAAGUCCAGAGAAGCUCGAUUGGAGAGAAUAGACAAAGAAGAGUGAGGUGUAAGAAGGCUGGAAAGGUAAGAAGGGGCCAGUUUUUUUUUAAGUUUGUUUAUUUAUUUAAUAAUUAAUUUAGAAUAUUUUUUCAUGGUUAAAUGAAUCAUGUUCUUUCCCUCCCCUCCCCUCACCCCCCAUAGCCAAUGAGCAAUUCCACUGGGUUUUACAUGUGUCAUUGAUCAAGACCUAUUUCCAUAUUAUUAAUAUUUGCACUAGGGUGAUCAUUUAGAAUCUACAUCCAGAAGGGACCAGUUCUGAAACGGAGUGUAAAAUCAAACAGAGAAUUUUUAAAUUUAACCCUGAAGGUAAUAGGGAAUUCUUAGAGUUUACUGAGUUGGGGGAGUAAUAGGAUCAGAUUUGUAAUUUAGUUGAACCAGAACUGAGGAUUCACAUAAAAGGCAUUAAACAAUAAAAUCAACUUUUCUCUUUCCUAGUAGUGCUCAAGAGGAGGACUGGUGAAAGCCUCAAGGUGAUGGAGUAUUGGAGAUUGAAUAGACUAAGUCAAUGAUGGUGAACCUAUAGCAUGGGUGCAAAAGAUGGCACACAGAGCACUCUCUGUGGGCACAGGACUGCCCCCUCCCCCAAGAGUUCAUUACUAGAAAUACAGAAGGACUUGGAUGGAGCUGCUCCCCUCCCCCUCUAACCUUAUGACAUUUUUUUUCACACCCCCCACCCCUCUGCCCAGCAGCCCAAUGGAAACACACAAAGGAUAAGUUGGGCAGUUCAUAGUCAGCAGAACUAGAGAGAAGCAAAGUACUUGGACCACUCUCCUUCUCCUUUCUACACUGGCUGAGGACAUUCCUCACUUCACCCACCCCUCUGACCAGCAGCUGUAAAGGGUGAAAUUAUGGUUGAGACUGAAAAAAAUCUAAAUUUAAGUGGUCGUCAAAGGAAAUCCCAAAUAAUAAAAUACCCAAGUCAGCUGCCAAAUUUUAUGGUGAUUUAAUUGAUAUAGUAGAGAAGAUUUUAAGAAGGAGGAAGGAAGGGACUAGUACCGGGCAGGAAGAUAGGAGAUCUAGAAAGUAAGGUUUUGAGUGUGAAGGAGGAAAGAAUCAGCUUGACCUCCAAAGAGGCUUAGCUAAGAUGCCUGAACCUGAAAUCAACUCCAGGGCAAACUCACCACCCAACACUCCAAGAUGUCGGAACGCUUAGCACGCUGCCAGUCAGAGUCAUCUCUCCAAGGAAAGAGAGAGAGGCAGCCUGUGACGUGCCUUAUAUGGACAUUUUUACAUCACUUUUAUGCAUCUCAUCUGUACCAAUGAGGACUUAGCUUGACUUAGGACAGCCCAAAGGUUUGUCCUUUUUUUGCACAUGUCUGUUGAAGGCCAUCUCCUCAGAUAAUUAAAUCUUGAGUUUGAUGCAGGCCUUUCAAAAUCUUGUUAAACUGAGUAGGGUGGAGAAUGUGGGUUUUCCCAGACCUGAUUCUGUUAUUCCAAGUGUCUCCAUUGUUAUUCAUCAGGAAAUAGCUAAAUCAGAUCUUCUAAAGAAUGGUCUGAUUAGGGUGGAAUAGUUUUAAAAUUCACACAGCCCAAUGGAAGCACUUUCUCCCUCCCCUUUGUGGGAUGGGAGGGUGUUGAGGCAUUCCUGGCACUCAAUCUCUGGGAAACAUCCAGCACUCCAACUCCAAAAGGUUUGCCAUCACUGGACUAGGUUAUAGCCUUUGAACUUUGAAAGAUUGAAAGAGUCACUAACUAGAGGUCUGAUAGAGUCUAUAUCAUCUUUCAAUGUCAACUAAGACCAGUGUGUCUGAGUGGCUCUAACGAGUAAUCAUCUUGGUCCAGGUCUGAUGUAUUGAAGACCAGAUAUAGUGUCCUGUGAGCAAGUGAGUGACUGUAUCCAUUGGCAAAGCCAUAUUUAGAAUUGAACUUAGUGGAGUGAAUGCUUCAAAGCAAUCACCAUAAAAGUUUUCCCCAGUUUUAUGUUAAAACAAUUUCCAACAUUUUAAAGAGAAUGUGAAGGGUCAGUUAGGUGACUCAGUGGAUUGAGAGCCAGGGGUUCAAAUCUGGCCUCAGAUACUUCCUAGCUAUAAUGACUUGAUCCUGGGCAUUGCCUAGCCUUAUUGCUCUUCUACCUUGGAACCAAAACACAGUAUUGAUUCUCAGACAGAAGGUUUAAAAAAAAAAAGAAUUUGGAGUUUUGAAUUCCCUCCUUUCCUCUCUCCUUCCUUCUACCCCUCCCAGAUCACAGCAAUCUGAUAUAGAUUUCAUAUGUGCAAUCAUUUAAAACAUUUUUCCAUAUUAAUCCUUUUGAACCACUGUAAAUUGAAACUUCCCAGGGACUGAGUUUGUAGAAAGGAAACUGUGUCGCCAGGUGCAAGAAUGUUUUUGUACUUUGGUUCUUGCUAUAUCCUUUUAAGUUUAUAUCCCUUUGAAAAAGCUAACUGAUAUGAAUUGGUUAACUUAAUUAUUACUAUUUAAUGAAUUAAGAUGAAUAAAUAAUAAGUUAGUAAUUGGAGCACUAAUCAUGAGUCAAUUAAUGAUAUGCAAUGAUGCUGAGUAUACCUAGCAGUUGAUAUUGAGGACAAGACACUGGAUUCAGGGCUCAAGUCAAUAGCUUUGGAGAAAAGCCCAUUCAUUGCCUCUUAGAUUUAUCCCUUGAAUACUGAGGGGAGACGUAGCCAGCUUUACUCUGAAGAUCCAACCUGCCAGGGCAUAUUUGGAUUGAGAUGGUAAGUCUAGAAUGAAGCUCUAACUGCAAUGACCUCUUAUUAAGCUCUCUGCUUCUGGUCCCCCCAUCCCUUAAUCCAUCUCUCACAUAGUUACCAAAUAAAAUACACAUCUAUGUCUCUUGUCCAUAGUUCACUAUUGUGUCUAGCACCAGGGAUCUCAACCUGGGGUGCCCCGCCCCAGCAGGGUAUGAGAGGGAUGAGGAAGCUUAUCAAGGAGGUCUGGAGAAUAUUUUAUAAGUAACAAUGCUGUGAUCACCUUUGACCGAGUUGUUUGCUCUCUCAGGGGAGGGAGAGAGAGAAUUUGGAACUCAAAAUUUUGGAAAACAAAUAUUAAAAAUUAUCAUUAUGUGUUAUUGGGAAAAUAUAUUUUAAAAGAGUAAAAAGGGAAAAUGGUUAUUUUGUUGAAAUAUUGCAAAAAUUCUAAAUUGAUUUCCAAUGACUGAAAUUCCAAUGUGUUUGUUUUACCAGAGAACAAUCAAUUGGUUUAGUUUAUUUUGUAUAUUCACAUCCAUAGUAAACUCUAGAAUCGAUUUCCUUUCAUAUUAAAUAGGGGCUAAGAGAAGGUUUACUGAAACAUCAAGGAAUCCCGGGGCCAUAAACAGUUAGGAACCCUUGAUUUAACACAAGACAAUAAAAUACAAACUCCUCAGCCUGCUAUUGAAAGACCGCCAUGAUAUGGUUCCUAUUUCUUUUUCCAGAUAUUUCAUUUUGCCCUCAGUUGAACUGGCUGCUAGCAGUUUCCAGUACAUGGCAUUCCCUCUUCAACCUCCACAUCAUUACAGAGUUGGUCUCCUGGGUCUGUAAUAUGUUCCCACCUCCUCCCCAACCCUGCCCCCCCAUUCACCUUAUAAAACCCUUGGCUUCCUUCAAAUCACAGCUCCAGGGCCCCUCCUGUCCAGGGGCUUUCCUGAUUCCUUCCAGUUGUUAGUGCUCUGCCUUUCUUGAGAUUGAUCUGUCUUACCGGCAUAUAUUUAUUUGUGUAUGCGUUGUAUAUCCCUAGAAGAAUAUAAAUUCCUUGAAGGCAGGACUGUUGGUUUGUUGGGUGUUUGUUUUGUCUUUGUAUUCCCAGUGCCUAGCAUAGUGUCUGGUCCGUGUUGUUCAAUGGUUUUUUUCAGCUGUGACCCAUUUUUCAUGACCCCAUUUGGUGUUUUCUUGGCAGAGAUACUGCAGUAGUUUUCCAUUUCCUUCUCUAGCUCAUUUUGCAGUUGGGGAAACUGAGGUAAACAGGGGUUAAGUGUCUUUAUCUAGGGUCAUCUAGCUAGUAAGUGUCUGAGGCUAGAUUUGAACUCAGGAAGAUAAAUCUUCUUGACUCAGGUCCAAAGCUCUUCCUGUCCCCACCCCAGCCCUGCAAAUGCUAGAGUGGUUUGCCAUUUCUUUCUCUAGUAGAUGAAGACAAAGAGAGGUUAAGUGACUUGACCAGAAGCUUACAACUAGUAAGUAUCUGAGACUGGAUUUGAACUGGUCUUCUGAUGGCAGGUCCAGCACUGUAUCCAUUGAGCCACCUAGCUGCUUCCUAUCAACAUUUUAGUCAUUUUUAUUUCAUAAUUCAAAAUACUAUUACUAAUUUUGAGCAUGCUUUCACAAAGUCAGGUACAGUUUGCAGUUAUUAUUUUCAAAAAUAUUCUUGUCCUUUGGCAACUUAUCUAUUGCUGCUUGGUCUUAUAUAUUUAUUUGUGUCUAUUUUUUAUGUAUUUUAGACAUGCAACUUUUGCCGACAAUAUUUGAGGUGCAGAUUUUCCCUCUUCCAUUUCUCUUCUCAUUCUACCUUUGUUGUUUUUAUAUAUACUUUGCUUUUCCCAAACUGCCUCCUCUCCCCAAUAGCCAUGGCUGCCAAUAACAUUGACCCCUCUAAUGAAGGUUAGCAGUCACUAAUUUCUUUAUGUAAACAUAGGAAUUUGGUAGUGAAGCAAAGGAACAGUCUAUGGAUAUGGGCAGAACCUGUAAGACUCCUCUCACUGUAACACAGAAAUAUUUACUCUUUUCUCCUUCCUCUCACCGAGAGACACCAUAGCAGCUGCUUCCUUCUCUAACUCAGAGCCAUUGGAAAGGGAUAUUAUCUUUAAGGGGGCACAUUGAGUCAUCUUGUCAAACUUGCUCUGAUCAACACCAUGUCUACUGCUCAUAUUACCCAGGUCCACCUAUUAUCUACUGCAUUGCUAACCACAGUAGCAAGAGUGGUAACAUCUUUUAAAGUCUUUAUGGGGAAGACCUGGUGUGGUUAGGUGGCACAAGUGGAUAGAACACCUGGCCUGGAGUCAGGAAAGCCUGACUUCCUGGGGAAGUCACUUAACUCUGUUUGCCUCAGUUUCCUCGUCUCUAAAACGAGCUAGAGAAGGAAAUGGCACACUACUUUAAUAUCUUUGCUAAGAAAACCCCAAGUGGGGUCACAAAGACUCAGACACAACUGAAAUAACUGAACAACAAUGAAAGAGAAGACCAAAGGAGCACAUAUCCAGAGACAACUAAGCGUUUGACUCUGAAAAAUCCAUGUGAUUCCAGGAUGGAGGAUGAAUUCUGACAUUCAACCUGAUUUGCUUCCCUUCUGGAACUUCUCUAAGAAGUCUCCACAACACACACACACACACACACUCACUCACAUUGUUUCUUCCUGUAAAAUGGAAACUCCCUGAUAUUAAGAAUUGGUUCAUUUUGUUUAUUUGUAUCCCCAGCAUCUUGGACAGUAUUUACAAUGGGAUAUAGUAGGUGUUUAAUAAAUGCUUGCUUUAUGAUUUAUUAUAUUUUAUUAUCUUUUUAUCUUUUAUUUAGUAAAGAAUUCUGCCCCUAGCCUUAAUUAUGAAAGAUGCCUGACACUGGAUCCCUUCAAAGUUUUAUGACCUCCACCUCUGCAAAAAAAAGGAGGAAGAAGAAGAAUAAGGAGGAGGAGGAGGAAGAAGAAGAGGAGGAGGAGGAGAAGAAGGAAGAUGACUUUUAAAAAACUAUUGAUUUAAAAAAACAUUAUAAAGGGAGAAUUACAUAGUAUGAUGGUAACAGAGAAUUGAAUUACUGGAAAUAUGGAGGAAGGAGUGAUUAAUGUGAAUGAGGGUUUCUUCCCUAUUCAAUAAACCCCAGUAAGAAAUAGAAAUUUCUCUUGUUGGUUUUCAUUUAUUUAUUUAUUUAUUCAUUCAUUCACUUAUUUUUAUUCAUUCAUUCAUUUUAAACCUUCUGUCAUGGAAUCAGUACUGUGUAUUGGUUCCAAGCCAGAAGAACAGUAAGGGCUGGGCAAUGGGGGUUAAGUGACUUGCUUAGGGUCACACAGCUGGGAAGUGGCUAAGGCUAAAUUUGAACCUAGGACUUCCUGUCUCUAGGCCUGGCUCUCAAUCCACUAAUCUUGUUGGCUUUUAAAGACUUUACCAACGUGGCCUCUUUCUACCUUCUCAGUUUUCCAGUUUUUAUCUCCCUCCAUGUAUUUGGAUCCCUCUGAUCCAAAGAUAUUGGGCUUCUUGCUGUUCCCAGCCCAAGACAGUCUGUCUCUGAACUCUGCCCUUUUUCACUGACUGUUCCCUGUGCCUGGAAUGUUAUCUCUCCUCACCUCUGCCUUUCAGCUUCCCUGGCUGCCUUGGAGACUCAGCUUAAAAUCCACCAUGUACAGUUCCUUCCCUCCUAGAAUGCCUCUCCUUUAUGCUUUAUCUUUUUAAAAACCAAAACCCUUCCCUU